RNAcentral lists this transfer RNA (76 nucleotides) under Rhodococcus rhodochrous. RNAcentral describes it as "tRNA-Pro(cgg)". Lineage: Bacteria; Bacillati; Actinomycetota; Actinomycetes; Mycobacteriales; Nocardiaceae. The record is from RNAcentral.
GCCCCGCGUGGCCCGCGACGACGAGUUCGGCGUUCGGGGCGUCGAUCUCGGCCGGGUCGGGUUCGGCCGCGAGGCG